RNAcentral lists this unclassified non-coding RNA (294 nucleotides) under uncultured Planctomycetia bacterium. RNAcentral's name for it is "contains 16S-23S intergenic spacer region". Lineage: Bacteria; Pseudomonadati; Planctomycetota; Planctomycetia. The record is from RNAcentral.
UGGACUACUGGGGUUUCUAAUCCCGUUUGCUCCCCUGGCUUUCGCGCCUCAGCGUCAGAAAGGAUCCAGCACACCGCUUUCGCCACCGGAGUUCCUAUGGAUAUCAACGCAUUUCACCGCUCCACCCACAGUUCCGUGUGCCCCUAUCCUCCUCGAGACCAUCAGUAUCCGAGGCCGUUCUCCAGUUGAGCUGGAGGAUUUCACCCCGGACUUGAUAGCCCGCCUACGCGCCCUUUAAGCCCAGUGAUUCCGAACAACGUUCGCACGGUUCGUCUUACCGCGGCUGCUGGCACC